Molecule: ribosomal RNA, 265 nt
Filed under: uncultured bacterium
Lineage: Bacteria
Description: partial 16S ribosomal RNA
Rfam family: Bacterial small subunit ribosomal RNA
Source: RNAcentral
UCCUACGGGAGGCAGCAGUGGGGAAUACUGCACAAUGGGGGAAACCCUGAUGCAGCGACGCCGCGUGAGUGAAGAAGUAUUUCGGUAUGUAAAGCUCUAUCAGCAGGGAAGAAAAUGACGGUACCUGACUAAGAAGCCCCGGCUAACUACGUGCCAGCAGCCGCGGUAAUACGUAGGGGGCAAGCGUUAUCCGGAUUUACUGGGUGUAAAGGGAGCGUAGACGGCAGCGCAGGUCUGAAGCGAAAUCCCAUGGCUUAACCAUGGA